GGCUUCAUAAUGUAGUGGUUAGCAUGUCUGCUUUACACACAGAAGGCCCCAGGUGAAGCUA
RNAcentral lists this transfer RNA (61 nucleotides) under Pteropus alecto (black flying fox). It matches the Rfam family "tRNA". From Rfam's summary of the family: Transfer RNA (tRNA) molecules are approximately 80 nucleotides in length. Their secondary structure includes four short double-helical elements and three loops (D, anti-codon, and T loops). Further hydrogen bonds mediate the characteristic L-shaped molecular structure. tRNAs have two regions of fundamental functional importance: the anti-codon, which is responsible for specific mRNA codon recognition, and the 3' end, to which the tRNAs corresponding amino acid is attached (by aminoacyl-tRNA synthetases). tRNAs cope with the degeneracy of the genetic code in two manners: having more than one tRNA (with a specific anti-codon) for a particular amino acid; and 'wobble' base-pairing, i.e. permitting non-standard base-pairing at the 3rd anti-codon position. The record is from Rfam by way of RNAcentral. Lineage: Eukaryota; Metazoa; Chordata; Mammalia; Chiroptera; Pteropodidae.